CAAGUACUCCCUUCGUCCGAAAAUAUUUGUCGAGAAACGGAUGUGUCUAGACGUAUUUUAGUUCUAGAUACAUCCAUCCUCCGACAAGUAUUUCCGGACGGAAGGAGUAUAAA
Non-coding RNA from Triticum aestivum (bread wheat), 113 nucleotides. NCBI's taxonomy places the organism in Eukaryota, Viridiplantae, Streptophyta, Magnoliopsida, Poales, Poaceae. The record is from Rfam.